UACGGAGGGUGCAAGCGUUAAUCGGAAUUACUGGGCGUAAAGCGCACGCAGGUGGCUGAGUCAGUCGAUUGUGAAAGCCCUGGGCUUAACCUGGGAAUUGCAGUCGAUACUACUCAGCUAGAGUAUGGGAGAGGGCAGUGGAAUUCCCGGUGUAGCGGUGAAAUGCGUAGAUAUCGGGAGGAACAUCAGUGGCGAAGGCGGCUGCCUGGCCCGAUACUGACGCUCAUGUGCGAAAGCGUGGGGAGCAAACAGG
RNAcentral lists this ribosomal RNA (253 nucleotides) under uncultured bacterium. RNAcentral describes it as "partial 16S ribosomal RNA". It matches the Rfam family "Bacterial small subunit ribosomal RNA", at positions 524 to 776 of the family's 1533-position model. The record is from RNAcentral.